CAAUGAAUGAGCUCUUCAUAUAAUGCUUCCUAUUUACACAUGUUUGAUAAAGGAUAACAUAAAAAGCCGUUAAAAGGUCUGACUUGCUUUCAUCAUUUCAUCUUGUCAACUUCAAAGCCUCAUACGAAACUCGUUCCAAUUUACCUGUGAAUAUUCAUUCUGCAAAAGAGUCGCAAUUGAAUCGCUGGGGAGCAGGAAUCACAGACACACAGACGGCUGGAUCCAUAGAAUUCAGGCCUCUCCUAUCUGUCUUCCAGUCUCUCAUUCACACCACUGCCUGGUUGCCAGGGUAAAUUGCACCCUAGAAACUCGCUGAUGAAAUUCCAAACUCAAGAGCUACCGAUCAAAAAGAUGAAUAAUUCAGUAACCUCAACAAUAAAGACUGGUUGCAAAUGAUCCCUAAUAUGCAGAGCAUUAAAAGUUAGUUUAAAGAAAAGUUCUACAUUGAUUUCUUGAGCAGACGCUGUCCCAGUUCCCUCUCAAACCUGGAAACACCACAAUUCUAAAGUUCUACAUGAAGGUCAAACUAGACUUCUCCUGCCGAGAAAACCUUCUACAAGAUCUCAGCCAUGGUAAGUUCUGAUUUGUGUCUAUAGCGCUAGAGUAUAAAUA
Long non-coding RNA from Xenopus laevis (African clawed frog), 612 nucleotides. RefSeq lists it as uncharacterized. The transcript is spliced from 3 exons. The record is from RefSeq and is a predicted model, not a curated record. NCBI's taxonomy places the organism in Eukaryota, Metazoa, Chordata, Amphibia, Anura, Pipidae.